UCUAAGGAGUAUUUGGUGCCAUUGCCUGGAUGUGGUGUUCUGGUGGUGGCUUUUGUGGGUGGAACGCUGACAUUUUCCUGCCGGCUUGAUUGGGUUGGUGGGGCAGCACACUGUUGGGUCCUGAGGGAAUGAGCACUCGCCUGGUGUGGGUGGCCCUUGGUAGGAAGGUUGUGGUGGGCCGCUGUCCCACCGAACGGCUCGCGGCCUGGCCCUAGGGUUGUGUGGGGUUGUGGUGGUGGGUUUGCGGUGAGCGGUGAUGGCGGUGCUGUCCGUACUUUGAGAACUGCACAGUGGAUGCGAGCAUCUUUGUGGCCAAGUUAGUAAGGGCGCACGGUGGAUGCCUAGGCAUCAGGAGCCGAUGAAGGACGUGGGAGGCUGCGAUAAGCCUCGGGGAGCUGCCAACCGAGCUGAGAUCCGAGGAUGU
RNAcentral lists this unclassified non-coding RNA (424 nucleotides) under uncultured Actinomycetes bacterium. Its description in RNAcentral is "uncultured actinobacterium partial contains 16S ribosomal RNA, 16S-23S ribosomal RNA intergenic spacer, and 23S ribosomal RNA". The stretch from base 311 to 424 matches the Rfam family "Bacterial large subunit ribosomal RNA", at positions 1 to 113 of the family's 2925-position model. The record is from RNAcentral. Lineage: Bacteria; Bacillati; Actinomycetota; Actinomycetes.